CUAUACGGAGUUACAAAAGAAAGUUAUAAAUGAAGCGGUCUGGAAAGGCCCGCCAAAGACGGUAACAGCCCGGUAGUUGAAAUGGCUUUCCCUCCAGAGUGGAUCCUGAGUACGGCGGAACACGUGAAAUUCCGUCGGAAUCCGGGAGGACCAUCUCCCAAGGCUAAAUACUCCCUAGUGACCGAUAGUGAACCAGUACCGUGAGGGAAAGGUGAAAAGCACCCCGGAAGGGGAGUGAAACAGUUCCUGAAACCGUGUGCCUACAAGUAGUUAGAGCCCGUUAAUGGGUGAUAGCGUGCCUUUUGUAGAAUGAACCGGCGAGUUACGAUUUGUUGCAAGGUUAAGCGGAAAAAGCGGAGCCGUAGCGAAAGCGAGUCUGAAUAGGGCGCAUAAGUAACAGGUCGUAGACCCGAAACCAGGUGAUCUACCCAUGUCCAGGAUGAAGGUAAGGUAAUACUUACUGGAGGUCCGAACCCACGCACGUUGAAAAGUGCGGGGAUGAGGUGUGGGUAGCGGAGAAAUUCCAAUCGAACUUGGAGAUAGCUGGUUCUCUCCGAAAUAGCUUUAGGGCUAGCCUCGAGGUAAAGAGUCAUGGAGGUAGAGCACUGUUUGGACUAGGGGCCCUUCUCGGGUUACCGAAUUCAGAUAAACUCCGAAUGCCAUGUACUUAUACUCGGGAGUCAGACUGCGAGUGAUAAGAUCCGUAGUCGAAAGGGAAACAGCCCAGACCACCAGUUAAGGUCCCCAAAUAUAUGUUAAGUGGAAAAGGAUGUGGGGUUGCUUAGACAACCAGGAUGUUGGCUUAGAAGCAGCCACCAUUGAAAGAGUGCGUAAUAGCUCACUGGUCGAGUGACCCCGCGCCGAAAAUGUACCGGGGCUAAACAUAUUACCGAAACUGUGGAUGAACCUCUUUAGAGGUUCGUGGUAGGAGAGCGUUCUAAGGGCGGUGAAGUCAGACCGGAAGGACUGGUGGAGCGCUUAGAAGUGAGAAUGCCGGUAUGAGUAGCGAAAGAAGGGUGAGAAUCCCUUCCACCGAAUAUCUAAGGUUUCCUGAGGAAGGCUCGUCCGCUCAGGGUUAGUCGGGACCUAAGCCGAGGCCGAUAGGCGUAGGCGAUGGACAACAGGUAGAGAUUCCUGUACCAGUGCUAAUUGUUUAACCGAUGGGGUGACACAGAAGGAUAGGGAAUCGCACGAAUGGAAAUGUGCGUCCAAGCAGUGAGUGUG
Molecule: ribosomal RNA, 1224 nt
Filed under: Listeria monocytogenes
Lineage: Bacteria; Bacillati; Bacillota; Bacilli; Caryophanales; Listeriaceae
Description: partial 23S ribosomal RNA
Rfam family: Bacterial large subunit ribosomal RNA
Source: RNAcentral